RNAcentral lists this ribosomal RNA (255 nucleotides) under uncultured bacterium. Its description in RNAcentral is "partial 16S ribosomal RNA". It matches the Rfam family "Bacterial small subunit ribosomal RNA", at positions 524 to 776 of the family's 1533-position model. The record is from RNAcentral.
UACGAAGGGGGCUAGCGUUGCUCGGAAUCACUGGGCGUAAAGGGCGCGUAGGCGGCGUUUUUAAGUCGGGGGGUGAAAGCCUGUGGCUCAACCACAGAAUGGCCUUCGAUACUGGGACGCUUGAGUAUGGUAGAGGUUGGUGGAACUGCGAGUGUAGAGGUGAAAUUCGUAGAUAUUCGCAAGAACACCGGUGGCGAAGGCGGCCAACUGGACCAUUACUGACGCUGAGGCGCGAAAGCGUGGGGAGCAAACAGG